UACGAAGGACCCGAGCGUUAUCCGGAUUUAUUGGGUUUAAAGGGUGCGUAGGCGGAUUAGUAAGUCAGGUGUGAAAGCCCCGGGCUCAACCUGGGAAUUGCAUUUGAGACUGAAUAGCUAGGGUGCGGAAGAGGGAAGCGGAAUUUCCGGUGUAGCGGUGAAAUGCGUAGAUAUCGGAAGGAACACCAGUGGCGAAAGCGGCUUCCUGGUCCAGCACCGACGUUCAGGCACGAAAGCGUGGGGAGCAAACAGG
RNAcentral lists this ribosomal RNA (253 nucleotides) under uncultured bacterium. RNAcentral describes it as "partial 16S ribosomal RNA". It matches the Rfam family "Bacterial small subunit ribosomal RNA", at positions 524 to 776 of the family's 1533-position model. The record is from RNAcentral.